This 482-nucleotide ribosomal RNA is filed under the name uncultured bacterium. RNAcentral's name for it is "bacterial SSU rRNA". It matches the Rfam family "Bacterial small subunit ribosomal RNA", at positions 15 to 518 of the family's 1533-position model. The record is from RNAcentral.
GAUUCUGGCUCAGGACGAACGCUGGCGGCGUGCUUAACACAUGCAAGUUGAACGGUAUGACAUGGAAGCUUGCUGAAGUGUCAUAUAGUAGCGGACGGGUGAGUAAUGCAUGAGAAGCUGCCAUUGGGAGGGGGACAACAGUUGGAAACGGCUGCUAAUACCCCGUAUGCCGGAGGGUGAAAGGGAGUAAUCCGCCCGAUGAGGUGCUCAUGUCCUAUCAGCUGGUUGGUGGGGUAACGGCCUACCAAGGCGACGACGGGUAGCCGGCCUGAGAGGGUGAACGGCCACACUGGAACUGAGAUACGGUCCAGACUCCUACGGGAGGCAGCAGUGGGGAAUAUUUGGGGCAAUGGGGGCAACCCUGACCCAGCGACGCCGCGUGGGGGAAGACGGCCUUCGGGUUGUAAACCUCUUUUGUACGGGAAGAAGGAAGUGACGGUACUGUACGAAUAAGUCCCGGCUAACUACGUGCCAGCCGCGGC